RNAcentral lists this long non-coding RNA (199 nucleotides) under Elaeis guineensis (African oil palm). RNAcentral's name for it is "long non-coding RNA (EGUI_LNC021438)". The record is from RNAcentral. Lineage: Eukaryota; Viridiplantae; Streptophyta; Magnoliopsida; Arecales; Arecaceae.
ACGAGAGUAGCUAAUAAGGGGUCGGCGACAAGGGACGUUAAUUUGUUGGGCCUAUGCCUCUUGGGCCUCAAGCCUCUUUCAAUUAUCGUCCAGAAGGAAUUUUCACAACACAUGCCCCCUACUCCUGAGUUCAAGCUUUAGUCGGUUGAAGGAAGUAAUCCUACACGCACCAAUCAAGAAUGUGAAGAGCCAUUCCAUU